AUCAAUCCAACGGCUGUGGUUGUCAGGUCCGGAUGGCAGCUAAUUCGAGACGGACUUGAUAGAAAACCAUUAUAUUUAAACUGUUAAUUUAUUUGAAUAAUGUAGAUGACUUCUUUUUUCUUUUGCAAUUAUACCCUUUCAACAUUAUUUUAACAUUAAUUAAUUUAUUUAUAAAAUAGUUAAUUAAUAAAUUAACCAAUAAUUAUUUAGUGUGAAAGAACUAAUACUUUUUUAUCAAUCACUCAAUUUCGAAUUUCAUCUCCAUUCUCUCGAAGAAGAAGAACACACGAAGAAUUUCAGCUUGCUUCAACUUCAUUGGCUUCUCAAAUCUCAGGUAUUGUUUCCUUUAAUUUUAAUAAUAUUUUUACUUCUCUCUUUCUAGUUUGAUAAUUUUAGGGUUAUACUUGAAUUAAUUGUAUUUUUAAUCAAUUUAGGGUUGAUUUAAUUGAUUCCAAGUCUUGUAUCUGUUCCUGUUCAACAAACAAAGAACGCACAAAUAAUUUUCAUUUUCAUUCUCAAUUUUCAAAGAAUCAAUAUAUUUUAUCUUCGGUUAGUACACUUCUAUUCAAUUUUUGUUUAUUUAACGUAAGAUAUUAUUUUCAUUCUUCUCUUCAAGUAGAUUAUAGCAUUGCUCCUCUCAUUAGUUAUAUUGUCCUUGAUUCUGCCAAGAACGACUUUGAUUUCAGGUAAUAAUUGAAUGUGUAAUAUUUUUAGUUGAAAUUAAUUGAGUCUCGUAAUAGUAAUAGGGAAUUGAGAUUUAUAUCAUGUUGAAAUGGUUUUAGAGUGUUCUGCUAUUUGAAUGCACAUUACUUGUUUGAUGAAAUAUCUAUUUAAAAAAUUAUUUUGUUUUUAGCAAACAUCUUACUGAGAUGUCUCUUGUAAUAAUAUUAACGUAAUGUACUUUGCUUCAAUUUGGUCUGUUUCAUACAUUUGAACAAAGGAAAAUUACAGAACUGCAACAAUUCUCAAAUUGCUUGCAGAUUAGAAGUUAUGUUAAUUUGUACUGCAACAGUUCAAUGGGCAGGGCCCAAGUUAAGGACUUUGGUUGUUCAAUUAAUAAAUCCACUGAUCAUUGGAACUUGUAUCUAUUGAAUCAAUAAAAAUAAUUAAUAAAAUCAAUUAGAGACACUCUAGUUGCUUAAUUAGUCAAAUUGUGAUCUCAUUACCCCCCCUUUUUGGGUUGAUUCUAUAAUUUUAUUAGUUGUUCUUGUGGUUGUAAACAAUAUCAAUUUCUAAUAUUAAUAAAAUUGAAUGAAUAAAAAGUGAUGCAUUUGUAGGAAAGUUAAUAGUUUAAAUAUGGAUAAUCUUGAAUGUUGAUGGAUAGAAGUCUAUAGAAUACAAGAAUGGGGUAAAUGAGUUUCUCAAGUUUGCAAUACUUCAUGCUAAUAAUCCUGAACUUUUGAGAUGUCCAUGCCAAGCAUGUGGUAAUUUGGUCUUUCAUAUACCAGUUGAGAUAAGAAAUCAUCUUUAUUGGAAAGGUAUUGACCAAAGCUAUCAAACAUGGACUUGGCAUGGAGAAGGACCUUCUAGUAGAUGACCAUAAAAAAUAAAAGUUUCAUUUGAUGGCAGUCAACAAGAUUAUGAAGAUGCUGAUACGGUAGAAAUGGUGAAUGAUAAUGAAGAUGAGAUCAACGAAAUUCGCUCUGAGUGGACCACUUAUAUUAAUGACUUGAUUUGAAAGAAAAAAAUGCAAAAGAGACAAGUAAUGUAGGUAAAGAGCAUAUGAUUUAAUUGAAGUACAUCAGUCUACUAUGAAUAUUUUUCAUGCAUAGAAUUUUCCUUCUGCUUGUGCAUAGAUAUCUUAUGCUUUUAUUACAUAAGGCAACUCUUUAUAUCGUCUAGUUAGAUUCAGAAUAAAAAGCUCUCAAUUAAUUCGAUCAAAAUUUGUCAAUGCCUUGCUGGUAACCAUAACUUACUUUUUCAGCCUCCUUCUUAAACAAUAACAACAAUAUAUAGCAGUAAUUUUGGUUUCUUGAUGUGUAGGGCUACGCGAGGGAGUUAUAUAGAUUUCAGUAACCAAGAUACAUUUACAAUCAGAGAAGAUAUAAGGUUUAUAAAGUAUCAGACUUUUCAUUAACUAUUGGGUUAAUAGAAAUUUAUUUAAUAGUUUUUCUUUUCGUAUGUACAAGGCUGCUGUAAAAAAAUUUUGGAUCGAUGGUGGAAUGCUAACUAAAUGCUUAAAUGUAUAGUUUUAGAAACAACAUCUUAUUUUAGAUUUAUA
This 2221-nucleotide long non-coding RNA is filed under the name Citrus sinensis (sweet orange). RNAcentral describes it as "long non-coding RNA (CSIN_LNC005018)". Lineage: Eukaryota; Viridiplantae; Streptophyta; Magnoliopsida; Sapindales; Rutaceae. The record is from RNAcentral.